RNAcentral lists this ribosomal RNA (301 nucleotides) under uncultured bacterium. Its description in RNAcentral is "partial 16S ribosomal RNA". It matches the Rfam family "Bacterial small subunit ribosomal RNA", at positions 509 to 807 of the family's 1533-position model. The record is from RNAcentral.
CAGCAGCCACGGGAAUACGGAGGGCGCGAGCGUUACCCGGAUUUACUGGGCGUAAAGGGCGUGUAGGCGGCCUGGGGCGUCCCAUGUGAAAGGCCACGGCUCAACCGUGGAGGAGCGUGGGAUACGCACAGGCUAGAGGGUGGGAGAGGGUGGUGGAAUUCCCGGAGUAGCGGUGAAAUGCGCAGAUACCGGGAGGAACGCCGAUGGCGAAGGCAGCCACCUGGUCCACUUCUGACGCUGAGGCGCGAAAGCGUGGGGAGCAAACCGGAUUAGAUACCCCCGUAGUCCCUGUCUCUUAUAC